GGGUUCAUCUUCAUGAGGUGUAAUGGCGCCGGGAUGCGCUCUCCUCUUCUCAUUUGCCAAUUUAUUGCAGAUCCCUCCUCAAAAAAGUUUUGGGACUAACUCAGCCCCAUGGAGAUCAAGGUGAAUUAGAAAAACAACAAAACAAAACAAGAUUCAUUUUAACAUCUCAUUUUUCUAUCUCCAACUUUCCCUCCCCUCCUCCCACCCCAGGAAGAAAAGACUACGUUUGUUUCUGGUGAUACAUUCAUUGUAGGUGGGUGGGUGACUUCUAGAAGAGGAAAAUCAAGAAGAUUUGGAGAAGGAGUCUUGGAAGCUCUGGUGAAGUUUUCCAAAACUGGGAAGGACAGAGCCACAGGUCUGCCUGUUCUUUUGCUUUGCCAUUUGUGUGGAUACCUAGUAGAGCAAUUUGGGUGCCAUUCUUUGAGGAAUCCAUUGGAUCUGUCAGAAAGCUGAGUCUGCUCAGCCUGUGUUAGUGGAGAAGAGGGAAGGAAACUGGCUGGAGGCCGCUGGACCCACAGAGGACAAUAGACAAUCUCCUGCUAGAAAUGACAAACCAGUAUCUUGAGUAAAAUAAUGACUUGGACUGUAAGAAAUUAAUUAGAAAACAUCUGUGCAAUGUAGUGGAAGAAAAAGAAAAUGAGACCCAGAAGACCCAAAUCACAAAUCAAAAGGACCUCACAGAAGAUUCUACAAUUGAGAUUAUUUAUCCUGGGAUGCCCACUGGAUCCAAAGAGAGAAACUCUAUAGAAUUAUGAUCUAGGUUUGACUGACUCCUGGCAAGAAGCCCUACCCGCCAGCCAAUUUGGAUGAGGAACACAGAAUCACUUGUGGAAUUAAGAGAUAAGGACAGCAAGUAGACCAAACUAUAAGCUGAGGUUCAAGGUGGCAUAGGCUGGGUGCCACAGUGCUGUGUCUCAGGUCACAGGGGUCAUCCAUCUUUCCUUCUAUGUGACUGGUUUGCUCUUGCAUAUCAUGUUUUCCGCUCUUAUGCUCCAGAUCCAUCAUGAGAAGAACAUGCCCUGGAUUCCUGCUAUCCCUUUAGCCAUGGCUCCAAAAUUAACACACACAAGGAAGACCUGAGGUCAAUCCACAGCCUGGAUUCAAGUCACCUAAUACAUAGGAGAAUCAGAGCUACCCAGCCACACUCAAUCUACGUUAACUGAACCUCAGCUGACCUGCAGAUUUAUGAGUAUGAGAAUAAAGGCUUGUUAAUGUA
RNAcentral lists this long non-coding RNA (1216 nucleotides) under Homo sapiens (human). Its description in RNAcentral is "long intergenic non-protein coding RNA 1980". Lineage: Eukaryota; Metazoa; Chordata; Mammalia; Primates; Hominidae. The record is from RNAcentral.